This 543-nucleotide ribosomal RNA is filed under the name Triticum aestivum (bread wheat). RNAcentral describes it as "partial small subunit ribosomal RNA". The record is from RNAcentral. Lineage: Eukaryota; Viridiplantae; Streptophyta; Magnoliopsida; Poales; Poaceae.
GGUCUUCAAGGAUGUAAACCCUCACCAACACCCUUGUCUAGUUCAGAGAAACUCUCACUUACAGAAGGAGAUCCCUUGAAUCAAGAGGACAGUACAAACUACAGAAGUCUGGUAGGAGCACUUCAGUACUUGACUUUGACAAGACCUGAUAUUUCGUUUGCUGUUAAUGAAGUAUGCCAGUUUCUGCAUGCACCCACCAUAGUUCAUUGGACUGCUGCUAAACGUAUAGUAAGAUAUGUGAAAAAUACUAUGAAUCUUGGUCUUACUUUCAGUAAAUCUUCAUCUACUCUAGUCAGUGCUUUCUCAGACUCUGACUGGGCAGGAUGCAUAGAUGACAGACGCUCCACUGGUGGGUUUGCAGUAUUUUUUGGACCUAAUCUAAUAUCAUGGUGUGCAAAGAAACAGGCUACUGUAUCCAGGUCAAGUACAGAAGCUGAGUACAAGGCACUUGCAAAUGCUACAGCAGAGAUUAUUUGGGUACAGUCUAUGUUGAAGGAACUUGGUAUAAAGAGUACUAAAGCCCCAUGCUUACUUAUGGUGUGA